Molecule: ribosomal RNA, 483 nt
Filed under: uncultured bacterium
Lineage: Bacteria
Description: partial 16S ribosomal RNA
Rfam family: Bacterial small subunit ribosomal RNA
Source: RNAcentral
GACGAACGCUGGCGGCGUGCUUAACACAUGCAAGUCGAACGAUGAAGCCGGAGCUUGCUCCGGUGGAUUAGUGGCGAACGGGUGAGUAGCACGUGAGCAAUCUGCCCUUGACUCUGGGAUAACUGCGGGAAACUGUAGCUAAUACCGGAUACGACACCUUGGGGCAUCCCAGGGUGUGGAAAGAAUUUCGGUCAAGGAUGAGCUCGCGGCCUAUCAGCUAGUUGGUGAGGUAAUGGCUCACCAAGGCGACGACGGGUAGCCGGCCUGGGAGGGUAACCGGCCACACUGGAACUGAGACACGGUCCAGACUCCUACGGGAGGCAGCAGUGGGGAAUAUUGCACAAUGGGCGAAAGCCUGAUGCAGCAACGCCGCGUGAGGGAUGAAGGCCUUCGGGUUGUAAACCUCUUUUAGCAGGGAAGGAGCGAAAGUGACGGUACCUGCAGAAAAAGCACCGGCUAACUACGUGCCAGCCGCCGCGGUAA